Molecule: long non-coding RNA, 550 nt
Organism: Panonychus citri (citrus red mite)
Lineage: Eukaryota; Metazoa; Arthropoda; Arachnida; Trombidiformes; Tetranychidae
Exons: 2
Source: RefSeq, a predicted model, not a curated record
AUGUUAACUGUAAAAGUCUAGACAAUUACAAUUAAUAGAUUUCAAUUUAAAUCAAUAUUGUCAAUGUCAACUUAAUGAUGAUAAUAAUAAUUUAAGUGGAUUAAUAUUAAUAGUUAGUGAAUAUUAUUAAAUUGUUACAUUACCAAGUAAUCACAAUCAACUACUGACAAAAUGAUGGAUGGAAAUUAAGUUAAUUUUCAAUGAUGAUUACAAUUAGUUUCCAAAUUGCGACAACGUUAAAUUAGAGGGACUUUUCCUGAUCACUAUAAUUUACUAGGAAAAAAAAUCCAUAACAAUCAAAGGUAAUAUAAUGAUGAUAAUCAUCAUCAUCAUCAUCAUCAACAACAACAACAACAAGUUAAACAUCAUGAUGAUAUUAUCAUGGGAUAAAUGGUAAAAAUAAUAGUAGUGGUUGUAAGAGAUGAAGAGUAACCUCGCUCAUCAAAUGGUCAAGAUAAUUACGAUCGCAAGGAAAGAAGAAGAAGAAAACUUUUGUGAGAGAGAAAAAGAUGAUGAUGAAGGAGGAAAAAAAGAAAAGGAAGAUGAGAAA